This 253-nucleotide ribosomal RNA is filed under the name uncultured bacterium. Its description in RNAcentral is "partial 16S ribosomal RNA". It matches the Rfam family "Bacterial small subunit ribosomal RNA", at positions 524 to 776 of the family's 1533-position model. The record is from RNAcentral.
UACGGGGGGGGCAAGCGUUGUUCGGAAUUACUGGGCGUAAAGGGCUCGUAGGUGGCCAACUAAGUCAGACGUGAAAUCCCUCGGCUUAACCGGGGAACUGCGUCUGAUACUGGAUGGCUAGAGUUUGGGAGAGGGAUGCGGAAUUCCAGGUGUAGCGGUGAAAUGCGUAGAUAUCUGGAGGAACACCGGUGGCGAAGGCGGCAUCCUGGACCAACACUGACGCUGAGGAGCGAAGGCCAGGGGAGCGAACGGG